This 3834-nucleotide long non-coding RNA is filed under the name Homo sapiens (human). Its description in RNAcentral is "HSALNT0389169". Lineage: Eukaryota; Metazoa; Chordata; Mammalia; Primates; Hominidae. The record is from RNAcentral.
CCAAAGAAAAACACAACCUCUCAUGGUUUCUUCUGUUGGUUGUCAUUGGAUGAGUCCAUCUCUAAUGGUUGUCUCCAUGUUGACCAAGGUGCAGCAAGCUUCUCAACCCAACUGUAGGAAGCCACCCUCACUUAUGUGGUAAAGAGGCCUAAUGCAUUGGCUGUCUAGGCUCAUGGCAAGUUUUGGUGGAGCGCCUUCUCAUGAGCAACACACAUAAGUGUGCUGUCUACCAAACUUUUCUAUUAGAACCUAAGCAAGCCACUGAACACAGGAUCAGUAGAUGAAUGUAUGCAAUACUAAUUCCUACGAAGACCUUGGUCAUCUCGUGUGUUUGAUUCAGUGGCCCUGUGGCAUUAAGUGUUAGCACCUGAUCCAGACUGAAUUCCUUUAUAAUACUCUUGUCAUUAGGAUAUACUUUGCAUAACUACUUUCCUGUCCUUUCUGUCUUUUCACUUAUUUUGUGAUCUUGAUCUCCAGAAGAAAGAUAGGAUUCAUAGUUGAACCAGUUAAGAUCAUUGCUUGAGUGGUUUAUUUUAAACCAUAAAGCUACAGUUGAGAAGUAUGUAGCUGUAGCCUUUUGAUAAGAAUGCAUUAAAUAUAGCAUCACACAUGAGUACCACAAAUGAGGUUAGUAGACUAGCUAUGCAGUGGCCCACAUUCAGUGUAAUGUUUUAGUGUCAUUUAGUGCCUCUUAAGUUGCUGUUAUCUGUUGGUCAGUUGCUGUAGUAGGAAAUAAUACUUUUUUAACAAAUGACCCUACCUUUGCUAGUGCUAGGAUAUUUGUAAAAGCCUAAGGGCUUCUUAAAUAUAACAUUUUGGUCUAUUUGGUCUAACCUUAGAAAGAUUAGUAGUUUAUAAUAAAAUAUGUUUGUUCCUAUCAAAACUAGAAUGAACUGGGUUUUCUCCCAAGGACUAAUGAUUCCACUUUGGAUAGAUGAAUUGAUAUUUUCAGUGCAUUCAAAAAUUGUUACUCCCGAGAAAAGCGCCCAUUACCACAGGAAAAUGAACUCUUUGGAACUAGCCCGGUAAAUAUCUCCUUUCGUCAUUGUUUUUGAGGCUAAAAUUGAUGGGUGCAUUGUUUAUGCAUUUUAACUGGCCAUCUUAUUUAUAUUUCAGAUUUGAUAAUCUAGGCUGCUAAGUGAUCUCAUCCAUUUUUUAAAAAAACUAGUAGAGUCCAGUGUUUUCUCAGCUAGUCCCCAAGGAAGUUUCUGCUGCAGCGUGGUCCUUUCUUCAAGGUGUGUGGGAUUCAAGGUGGAAAAGAGUAUAGCUGGUAAUGGUGCCUUGGUCAUUCUGCUCAGGGACCUGCCUGUUCCUGCCUUCCUCUCUUCCCUUCCACAGACUAUCUCAGAGAUUUAACUGUGAACUUAUCCUUGCCUAACUCUUGAGGAUUUCCAAGCUUUGGUUGGGGGAUGGAACAGACAGGAAAACGGUUGUUCCUUGGUUUAAAUUUUGUCAUUGAUUUACUAAUAACUUUUAGCACUUGUUUGGAUCUUCUUAGAUCUGGAUGCUUACUUUCUUUUUUAGUGCCUUACAUACAAUGCUAAAAACUAGGGAUACUGAAAGGGAAAUGGGUUGCAGCAUUCUUGAAUAUAUUCAAAAGGCAUUUUUCACUUACAUUUCUAUCAAAAAGUGAUGUGACUUGUAGCAGUUUUUAUUUUAUUUAUUUAUUUUUUUAAGGAAGGGGGCAAUAAAGAACUGGAGUGCUGAAACAUCUCACACAGCAAACGUUCUGCUAGUGGGUACUAUGAAUCUUUGAUAUCUGAAAGCCCACAUAUAUUUGGUUUGAAGCCAUUCUAGAGGUUUUUAAUUGAUUGACUGCUCUACCACCUAUGGAGUUUGUCUCAUGUACUUAAAGUACACCUCUGUGCACCAUCUUACUUCAGGUUUGUCUUGUGUCACUGACUACAUUCGUAAGCCCCUUGAGGGUAAGGAUUGUCUACUGUAGUAAUCCUUUUCUCCUCAGCGCCUAGCACAGUGCUUUGGCAUCUUUGCUGCUUGGUUAAUUGAUCUAGUCAGGUCCUUCUUUGUUUUGGCUUAAACAACAGAAAAUUAUUUCUCACAGUUCUGGAGGCUAGAAAUCCAAUAUCAAGGUACAGGUUUGGUUUCUUUUGAGGCCCCUCUGCUUGGCUUGUGGAUGGCCGUCCUCCUGUGUUAUCACGUGAUUCGGGUCUUUGUUUUUUUAACCAAGUUUUUCUAGUUAACUGCAUUGAGUGUUUUCAUCAGCUGUUACAGGUGAAAUACAAUUUGGUAUGAAAAAGGAAAGAGUUCCAGGUGUAUGUUUUAGUAUGCAAAUGCUUUUCUAUUUUUAUAUUUACAUGUCAAUGACUUGCUGUCUGAAUUCCUUAUUAUAUUUGAAAUUUAACUGUUGUAUGACCUAAGUAAGACUGUUUAGAGAUUUGAAAACCAAACUACCGGGAAUUGCACUAAUAUUCUGAAACCCAAGGUAAAGAUAUUAGUGAGGUUUUUUACUUUUUAACUGAAACAGAAUGUAUCUUUUUAAUUUAGGAAGCACCUUAUGAAUUGGAAACAACUUUUUUCUAAAAUGAUUAUAAUGGAACAUAAAAAUGUUCUCCCAGUGAUGCAUCCUUUGAUUGAAACCGCCAUGUAACUAACUACCGGGUUCACAUUUGCCAGAGGAAAAUGCUGUGGUUAAAGAUGUAACAACUUUGGGACAAAGAGUUUCAGGGGCUCAUAAUUUUGAGAGAUGGAGGAAGUUGACCGCAUGAGAGUGGUUUGAGGAUCGCUGUGCCUAGACCGUUUUUGACAUUGGCAACUUAACAUAUCAGAGAUGGAAUUAAUGGCACAUAUUGCCACCUUGGUAAAAGUUGAGAAUCUGUAGUACUGAGAAGUUUCUCCACUAUCAGCCGAGAUUAACAGCCACAGCUGGAUUCUUUGGGGGCUCUGCUUUGUGAAAAGAGCUUUGAAGAAGCAGAGCCUGCACCAUAAAAAGGAAACGGUUGCUCUUCUAGACAUAACAAAGCAUCCGUAUGAAACUAGAAAUGUGGAAAUCUGUAUUGUUAAUUUUAACUACAAACGAACUUACUUUUGGAAAUUACAGGUUCAUGAUCAUAAAGUAGAUAAAGAGUAGAGAAUAAAAGUAACAAUCUGAUGAUUCUGCACCCACUUCUUGGUGGUUGAAACUCCAUAGCCUAUAACGUUGCAAGUCAUUUUGUACUUAGACUCCUGAAAAGAUUAUCCAAAUUAUGUUCAAAAAACCACAGCACAAAAAAUAAACUUGUUUUAUUCUUGGGGAGAAAUUUCAUGUUAUACUGUCCAAUAUUAAUUUAGAAAAAAAGACAGUUUUUUUUUUUAAGGCAUUUCAGAAACAUUGCCCUUUCAAGCAAGUUAGAACAAUAUCCCUCAACAUUAAAUACCAUCUUUUUAGCCAUCAGUACCACUGGGCAUGUGUCAUAAAAGAGAAAUGGGGGCAGAUAUAGCUCCCUUUCAUAUGCUAUACCAGAACAAAAAUUUGUAAAAUGCAUAAGUGCAUUAACUGAAUAUGUUUGAAUUUAAAUUCUGGGUUUUUACCUUCAAAGCACAGGCAGCUGUAGAUACAAAAAGUCCUCUAAUGGAGUACUGGAAUGUUUCAUUGUCUUCACAACUUGGAGUGUCAGAGUUUUCUCUGCCUUCUAUAUUGUAAAACUGAGUGACUAUUCUUGGUCGUUUUUAUUAGAUUUAUUGAUGUCCAAGCAAUACAAGAAUUAACUGUUCAUAUACUGUAUGUUUCCUUAACAUGCUUAUUUGGUUUCUUUGAUGGAGAUUGUCAAGGCCAAAGAAACUUUUUCAUUUGUCAUCCAACCAAUAAAUGGACAGAAGCUGUUAGAAGCUCUUUAA